This 414-nucleotide ribosomal RNA is filed under the name Vibrio sp. 1005. RNAcentral's name for it is "bacterial SSU rRNA". It matches the Rfam family "Bacterial small subunit ribosomal RNA", at positions 85 to 492 of the family's 1533-position model. The record is from RNAcentral. Lineage: Bacteria; Pseudomonadati; Pseudomonadota; Gammaproteobacteria; Vibrionales; Vibrionaceae.
UGGGCGUCGAGCGGCGGACGGGUGAGUAAUGCCUAGGAAAUUGCCUUGAUGUGGGGGAUAACCAUUGGAAACGAUGGCUAAUACCGCAUAAUGCCUACGGGCCAAAGAGGGGGAUCUUCGGACCUCUCGCGUCAAGAUAUGCCUAGGUGGGAUUAGCUAGUUGGUGAGGUAAUGGCUCACCAAGGCGACGAUCCCUAGCUGGUCUGAGAGGAUGAUCAGCCACACUGGAACUGAGACACGGUCCAGACUCCUACGGGAGGCAGCAGUGGGGAAUAUUGCACAAUGGGCGAAAGCCUGAUGCAGCCAUGCCGCGUGUAUGAAGAAGGCCUUCGGGUUGUAAAGUACUUUCAGUUGUGAGGAAGGUGUGUGUAGUUAAUAGCUGCGCAUGCUUGCACGUUAGCAACAGAAGAAGCA